CCUACGGGAGGCUGCAGUGAGGAAUAUUGGUCAAUGGGCGUAAGCCUGAACCAGCCAAGUCGCGUGAGGGAUGAAGGUUCUAUGGAUCGUAAACCUCUUUUAUAAGGGAAUAAAGUGUGGGACGUGUCCUGUUUUGUAUGUACCUUAUGAAUAAGGAUCGGCUAACUCCGUGCCAGCAGCCGCGGUAAUACGGAGGAUCCGAGCGUUAUCCGGAUUUAUUGGGUUUAAAGGGUGCGUAGGCGGCCUUUUAAGUCAGCGGUAAAAUGUCCGGGCUCAACCCGGGCCGGCCGUUGAAACUGGGGAUCUUGAGUGGGCGAGAAGUAGGCGGAAUGCGUGGUGUAGCGGUGAAAUGCAUAGAUAUCACACAGAACACCGAUUGCGAAGGCAUCUCACGAAUCCGCGAUUGACGCUGAUGCACGAAAGCGUGGGUAUCAAACAGGAUUAGAUACCCGUGUAGUC
This 459-nucleotide ribosomal RNA is filed under the name uncultured bacterium. Its description in RNAcentral is "partial 16S ribosomal RNA". It matches the Rfam family "Bacterial small subunit ribosomal RNA", at positions 338 to 795 of the family's 1533-position model. The record is from RNAcentral.